UACGUAGGGUGCAAGCGUUGUCCGGAAUUAUUGGGCGUAAAGGGCUCGUAGGCGGUCCAUCACGUCGGGAGUGAAAAGCUGGGGCUUAACCCCAGUCCUGCUUCCGAUACGGGUGGGCUAGAGGUAGGCAGGGGAGAACGGAAUUCCUGGUGUAGCGGUGAAAUGCGUAGAUAUCUGGAGGAACAACGGUGGCGAAGGCGGCGUCCUGGACCAACACUGACACUGAGGAGCGAAAGCCAGGGGAGCAAACGGG
RNAcentral lists this ribosomal RNA (253 nucleotides) under uncultured bacterium. Its description in RNAcentral is "partial 16S ribosomal RNA". It matches the Rfam family "Bacterial small subunit ribosomal RNA", at positions 524 to 776 of the family's 1533-position model. The record is from RNAcentral.